Molecule: ribosomal RNA, 402 nt
Filed under: Microsporidia sp.
Lineage: Eukaryota; Fungi; Microsporidia
Description: SSU rRNA
Rfam family: Eukaryotic small subunit ribosomal RNA
Source: RNAcentral
UCUCCUCGCUGGAGGUCGGGAGCGCUGCCCCGGCAGCGGCGCCCAGUCCAGCGAAUAACCUCUGGUGAAGGGGGGAGAAACGGGAGGCAAUAACAGGUCUGUGAUGCCCUUAGAUGUUCUGGGCCGCACGCGCGCUACAUUGGCAGAGACAGCGAGCAACGCCUUGGCCGAGAGGCCCGGGGAAUCUUGUGCAACUCUGCCGUAAUGGGGAUAGACCAUUGGAACUGUUGGUCUUGAACGAGGAAUUCCUAGUAAGUGCCGGUCAUCAGCCGGUGCUGAUUAAGUCCCUGCCCUUUGUACACACCGCCCGUCGCUACUACCGAUUGAACGAGCGGAUGAAGGCGGGGGAGUGCCCCGGCGGGAACCCGCCUGAAUUUGUUUGUUUAGAGGAAGUAAAAGUCG